CCUGGCUCAGGACGAACGCUGGCGGCGUGCUUAACACAUGCAAGUCGAACGGUAAGGCCCUUCGGGGUACACGAGUGGCGAACGGGUGAGUAACACGUGGGUAAUCUGCCCUGCACUUCGGGAUAAGCCUGGGAAACUGGGUCUAAUACCGGAUAUUCAGCUUUCACCGCAUGGUGGUGGUUGGAAAGUUUUUCGGUGCAGGAUGAGCCCGCGGCCUAUCAGCUUGUUGGUGGGGUAAUGGCCUACCAAGGCGACGACGGGUAGCCGGCCUGAGAGGGUGAUCGGCCACACUGGGACUGAGACACGGCCCAGACUCCUACGGGAGGCAGCAGUGGGGAAUAUUGCACAAUGGGCGGAAGCCUGAUGCAGCCUCGCCGCGUGGGGGAUGACGGUCUUCGGAUUGUAAACCCCUUUCAGUAGGGACGAAGCGCAAGUGACGGACCU
RNAcentral lists this ribosomal RNA (444 nucleotides) under Dietzia sp. BT20. Its description in RNAcentral is "bacterial SSU rRNA". It matches the Rfam family "Bacterial small subunit ribosomal RNA", at positions 18 to 480 of the family's 1533-position model. The record is from RNAcentral. Lineage: Bacteria; Bacillati; Actinomycetota; Actinomycetes; Mycobacteriales; Dietziaceae.